RNAcentral lists this unclassified non-coding RNA (5206 nucleotides) under Hevea brasiliensis (rubber tree). Lineage: Eukaryota; Viridiplantae; Streptophyta; Magnoliopsida; Malpighiales; Euphorbiaceae. The record is from RNAcentral.
CGCUAGUCAGUCACCCAGCACAAAACAGAGAGGUAAGGUCCAAUUCACAAAACCAAAGAAGGGAAAAAUGGGUUCUUCACUCUCAUUUUCAGUUCAAUCUGUAUUGAUUUCUACUGGUGUUUUGUUCUUAGCUUUGCUUCUCAAAGCCUCUGUUCCAUUAGUGGUUGAUUUCUCUGUUUAUCAAGCUCCUCUUAUAUGGAGCUCACUCGCUUCAUGGCUUAAACCUCCUUAUCUUUAUGUUAUUCUCAACUGCAUCAUCAUCACUAUUGCUGCCUCCUCUCGAUUCCACCAUACCCAUGGUGCCGACAAUGAACAGCAGGAGCAAAUACCUGCUGUUCGGAAAAUCUCAGCUCGUGACCCGGAUCAGUUCCACUACGAUAUGAAGAUUUCGGCUCCGGAGUCGACGGUGGUGGUGGCGGAGGAUGUAUGUGAGCAAAGAGAGGAGAAGGCUAGUGCAAUUCUUGUUUUUGAGGAUAAGAGUACUGUGUUGGUGAACGGUUCUGUGGAGGUUGAGGAUAAAGAGGAUGAGGAUGACUUUGUAAUCUCAAGGUCCACGUGGAUUCCUCCGAAGAGGAUGGAUUCGUCGGAGAAUCUGAUGGAGCUUCUUCUACCGGCUGAGAAACCUCUGGUUUCUGCUCGCUUUGGUCACCGGAAACCAGUUAGAGCUAGUCCUGAAGGUGGAAGAAGAGCGCUGAGGGUUGCGAAGCCAAAACGUCAGGAGACGUUGGAGAACACGUGGAAAACGAUAACGGAGGGCAGAGCGAUGCCGUUAACAAGGCACUUGAAGCAAUGUGAGACGUUCGAGAAUCACGGCCGUCGAGUCAACGUUUGUGAAGCGGACCCGUCAUCUCCACCGAAGAAAUCAGAGAAGUUCAAGUACAGGACUAAUUACCAGCUGCCACCCGUGGGCAACUCUCCUGCAUCAGGGAAGCUGAGAAAAGAGCCGUCAGUGAGUCAAGACGAGUUGAACCGCCGAGUGGAGGCGUUCAUUAAGAAGUUCAAUGAGGAGAUGAGGUUGCAGAGGCAAGAGUCGUUGAACCAGUACAAGGAAAUGGUUACUUGUGGAAGCCAUUAAUUAUAAUUGCUUACUACAAUGCAGUUUUUUUUAAAAAAAAAGAAAGGAAGGAUUUUGAUGGGUUUGCUUUUUACAGGAACAGGAAAUAUUUUGUUUCUUUUUUAAAAAAAUUUAUUCUCCGUAGGAGCUAGAAGUUGAAGCUAUAUGAAGUGUCUGUAAAGGAAGAAACUUAUUCUUGUUCUUUUAUUCACGUCUAAAGAGUGUUUAAAGAUUUGAUUCCAAUUUCUUUUUUAUCCAUCCUCUUCAUUUACUAUCAUCAUUAAUUUGGACAAGAUUGAUAUGAUUAGGGAGUGGGACAUUGAUUUUAAACUACCGGUUUGGCCCUAAAUCUAAAUUAUCAUCUACAUGGUGACGGGACUUUGUUUUGUCAUGCAGGUCCUCGGCGGACCCCCUAUGCCUCGGGGUCUGGCGGCAUUGAUGGAAUUCAUAAUCGUAGCCACCUUAUGCACUCAUGGGUAUUUUGCAUCAUUUCUCAAGCAGAACUUGCAAACCAAUUGUGAUCCAGCUGUCCCUCGGAUCAUUAUGGAAUUCAUGGGAGAUGUUUAGGAGCUUAAAUUCAUGCCUUCAAGCUACACACCAUGGUCCCUUCUAUAUCUGUUCAGUCGGAGGAAAACAGUAAGAAGGUGAAAGAUAUAUCAAUUUAAAAGUUUUAUAAACAAAAGAUACAUAGGCAUGGUGGAAAAUAUUCGAAGUCCUUAGUUCAGUACAAAUCAAGAAUUAUCAUAAAAAUUACAAAGGGCUACUUCAAGUGUAACUAUAGCUGUUGGUACAUUAUAUGAUCUGUCAAAAUUUCAUCCCUACUUGAAUAACUCAACUUCAAAUUUCAGGGUAAUCAUGCACGUUUUAGCCUCUUUAUUCUCUCAAGGGCACCAAGAUUGCCUGCACCACCACCAUCCUUAUCCUUAGCAGCUGUGGUAUCAUCUCCAACCUUGUCUUCUUCAGUCUCUUCCCUCUUCCUGGCCAAUCCUCCAAAGACAGCAGAUGGAACAUCUUUUUGUGUAAUUUCCACUUUUUCAUCAUCUUCAGAGUCGCUUUCUUCUGGCAGUUCAAUGUCUUCUUGGUUUGCAUUAACCUUCACCGCAUCAGGCCGUGAUUCCACCCCAGCACUCACAAAGCCCACCUUUCUGCCACUAUCUUUAGCUGUAGUAUUAUUGGCCACUGGGGCUAAUUGCCUCUCUAGAGCAACCAUUUCAUCUUCAGGGACCCCAGCCUGUUUCAAUUUGUCUUUUGCCUCGUCAAUAUUUAACCUUUGAUCCUUCUGCAUUAAAUACUCCGGCAGAAUGAAAUGUGUCUGGCUAUAGCUUGCAGAAACACUUCGUUUAAUACGCAGCAUUUCUCGGAAAGUAUCUUCAUUUCCAUGUUGCACCUCAAAUUCAUGCCAUUCAUUCCAAAAAUCUGCAUCAGAUCUUGGAUCAGCAAACUGAGAUGCAAAUACAUAUAUUCCACGAGCUCGAUCAAUUUCUCCCAGGCUCUUCUCCAACUCAGCAUACUUCAAGCACAUUGUCUUUACAUCUUUGUCUGGAAGACCAGACUCUAUUGCUUGUUCAUAUAUUUCUCUUGUUUUGGGGACACCAAAUAUCUCAGCAGCACGAGCAAUAUAAAUUUUAUACAUCUCCAGUUUUUCAUUAUUUGGGACAGCCUUAGUUGCUUGAUCAUAAACUUUCAUAGCUCGCUUUGCCAAACCAUAAUCCUCUUCCAGCUUUGCAUACUGAAGAUACAAGGGUUUUACAGCAUCAGCAGGAGCCAUUUCAAUAGCAUGUUCAAACAACUCUCUUGCUCGUUCCAGUUUUGUCUUCCCAUAUCUCUUUACAAACUUUGAAAGAUAUGUGACCCAUAUGUCUUUCACGUGAGGGUACUUGAAUAUUUUCACACCCCUUUCAUAUACCUUGAAUGCAUCUUCAAAGUACUUAUGUUCCUGAACAAGCUCAAAUAAUAAGAGUUGGGUCUUUUCAUACCAAUAAAAGUAACACCUAAAAGAGACAAAACAGUAGAAUUAUAGACGUCUGUACUUCUAGAAGUAAUGCAUAAUUGAUAAUGAUUUGUGGUGUGGCUAUUCUCAGGUCCAAUAUCCGCUCAUAAACAGCUCGAGUGGACUCCAAGGUCCCAAGACCCUCUUCCAAAUCAACAUAAAAGGUCCAGAGUCUCAAGGACUUAUGCAACUUCAUCUGGACAGGUUCAUUGCCAUCAGCAGCCACUCUUCUUUUGACCUCAACUGAUGGUUCUGCUGUAGCCCGCCUCAACAGCUCAAGUGCACCUUUGAAAUUUUUGUGUCUAAUUUCCAUUUCAGCCCACUCACACCAAAUGCUAGCUAGAUUAUCCACACUCCUAUAGUUCACUUGCACUGCCUUGUCAAAAAUUACUCUAGCAUUGACAAGAUCAUUGUGAUUCUCAUACAACUUAGCAAAAGCAACCCACAAAGUGUGGGGCUUUCCUAAUGCUUUCAUUGGAUCAACUGUUCUUACUGCCUCAGUGUAAGUUAGUAUCUGUUUAGUUGGAUUACCCUCAAAAAGCUUAACCCUCCUGUGCCAUUGUUCCACAUUAUGUGGAUUUUGUCGCAAAAGUACACUAUUGGCCAAUUCUGGCCUUCUAUCCAUAAGAUACUCCAACCGGGCCAACAUCAAAUCCACAUCAUUAUCAUCAUGUAACCAAAACCCACUAAGUAUCUUCUUCUCAAACUUAGAAUUCACUUCCAAACGAACAUCUUCAUCCUGCAAGGAACCACUCUCCUCCAACACAUCCUCUUCCUCAUCACUCAAGUCCAAAUUCUCCAUCUUAUGCGCAACCAUACUCUCUUCAAACUGUGAAUAUGCAUCAAAUAAAACACUAAAAUCUCUCACCGUAACCACCGUAGUCAUUCCCUCCUCAAAAAUAUCCCUUGCCUUCUCAAACAAACCCCUCCUGAUAUAAUAAUCAGCAAGUGACGUCCACAACCUGCCAACCUCAUCUGUAAACUUCCUAAUCCCACCCCUAAUAAUGGCGUCCACAUUCAACCCAGACACUUCCUUUGCAUGUCUAGUAAGCAAAUCACACAAUUCUAGCCACAAUGUAUGCUUUGUUUUCCCCUUUAUUGAAUAAAACUGAUCAUCAUUCAACACUGAAGCUAGUCUCUCAGCUGCUUCUUGCCAAAGACGAGAAUUCACCAAAAACUCAAUAAAAUCCUCAAUAUGACUAGGAUCAUACUUCAAGUACCUCCUAUAAACCCGAAGAGAAGUCUCAAUCGGCAUACCCUCUUGGCUCACAAACCUCAAAUAUAGCUCCCAAAUCCUAUCAUGCUGAGUGACAGGCAAUGCACAGAGUGCUCUAUCAAAAGUUCUACGUGCGCGGGUAAUCAAUUUUUGGUUGGUUAGGGUUUGCAAGUACAUGAUCCAAAUUCUGGGCAUUUUAUGCAUAGUAACCAAUGCUCUUUCAAAUGUAUUGUUCAGGGUUUCAUACUGGGAGUGAGUGACCGGUAGGUUUCUAACGAUUUCGAGACGCUCAGUAAGAUAUGCAUGCCAAAGCUUGUAGCUCCCAGGUAAAGCUUUGAGGGCUCUCUCAUAGAUAAUGAACCGCUUUUUGAAAGGUGCUUCACGGCGGGCUAUUAGGUAGCGCCACCAGAGCUUAAGGCUGAAUGGGUUACGCAACAGCUCCUCUUCGUAUAAGAGAUCAUCUUGAGAAGGGUAAAGCUCUCUAGAAAUUGACAUGACCGAACGAGAGUUGAAGAACUUAUGGAGCUAGAUAAACCCUCAACCUCUUAAUAUCACACAAAGUGAUUCUUGUGAACUCCUAAUCGACAAGAAAAAAUGGUUUUCCGAAUCCCCAAUUCCGGAGUCAAAGUGAAAUGCAGCAACUGACUGCUAUUAUAGAUUAAAACACCGAAGACAAGGGGAAAGUUACCUGAAAAUUUGCAGCGAAACCUUGAGAUCAAGAUGAGGAAACCGAGUUUCCCAAAUAGGAUUAAGCGAGGAACUGGAUUUCCUCUAUCUUUUCCUGUUAAAGCAAUCUGCCCCAGAAAGUGCACUCAGCCCCAGCAACAUCAAAAACACCGCAUAGAGAAGAUUUGAACCCCCAACAAAGGGCAAGAUUGAAAGAAGCCUAUUCCAUUGCAAACAGGCGCUAAAGACUUAUGUGGGAGAUGGAGUUCUACCGCUCUAG